AUACGGAGGGUCCGAGCGUUAAUCGGGAUUACUGGGCGUAAAGCGCGCGUAGGCGGCUAUAUAAGUCAGAUGUGAAAUCCGUGGGCUCAACCUAGGAACUGCAUUUGAAACUGUAUGGCUAGAGUAUGGUAGAGGUGAGUGGAAUUUCAGGUGUAGAGGUGAAAUGCGUAGAGAUCUGAAGGAACAUCAGUGGCGAAGGCGACUCACUGGGCCAUUACUGACGCUGAGGUGCGAAAGCGUGGGUAGCAAACAGGAUUAGAAACCCCUGUAGUCC
This 274-nucleotide ribosomal RNA is filed under the name uncultured bacterium. RNAcentral's name for it is "partial 16S ribosomal RNA". It matches the Rfam family "Bacterial small subunit ribosomal RNA", at positions 523 to 796 of the family's 1533-position model. The record is from RNAcentral.